This 406-nucleotide ribosomal RNA is filed under the name uncultured bacterium. RNAcentral's name for it is "partial 16S ribosomal RNA". It matches the Rfam family "Bacterial small subunit ribosomal RNA", at positions 30 to 526 of the family's 1533-position model. The record is from RNAcentral.
AUUGAACGCUGGCGGCAGGCCUAACCCAUGCAAGUCGAACGAGUGGCGGACGGGUGAGUAAUGUCUGGGAAACUGCCCGAUGGAGGGGGAUAACUACUGGAAACGGUAGCUAAUACCGCAUCCCAUCUGAUGUGCCCAGAUGGGAUUAGCUUGUAGGUGAGGUAACGGCUAACCUCGGCGAAGCUCCCUCGCUGGUCUGAGAGGAUUACCAGCAGCACUGGAGAUAAGACACGGUCCAGAUUGCGACGGGAGGGAGAAGUGUGGAGUAUGGAACAAUGGGCGAAAUCCUGAUGCAGCGAUGCCGGGUGGAUGAAGAAGGCAUUCGGGUUGUAAAGUACUUUCAGCGGGGAGGCGUUACCCGCAGAAGAAGCACCGGCUAACUCCGUGCCAGCAGCGGCGGUAAUUC